Molecule: long non-coding RNA, 1044 nt
Organism: Syngnathoides biaculeatus (alligator pipefish)
Lineage: Eukaryota; Metazoa; Chordata; Actinopteri; Syngnathiformes; Syngnathidae
Exons: 3
Source: RefSeq, a predicted model, not a curated record
UUUUUUUUUUUUAAAUAUAUUUUCAAUGCAACAUAUUUUUGACUUAAAUAAUUUUGUUUAAACAAGUGAAGAGAACCUAAAUACAUGUGUAUGCAAUGUUCCAUGUUUCGGGAAAGUGUGUAUACCACGUUUGUGUUUGUCAUCAUUUAUUUGUUUUUGUCUGUCAGCAAGACUUCUGCCUCGGGCUCAUGACUCCAUUUCCUAUUUCCCGAAUCCAAGGUAAACCCCUCGCGAUGUUUUGACUCCAUUUCGCCGAUCAAACAAGAGGCGGGGAGUCACGUGACAGUACCCGAGAUGACACGGAAGCCACAUUUCCAGAGUGGCAAAUCUCCAUAAAACAAUAGCGUGCGACUCGCAGUCAGAGGAGGCUAAAACGCUCGUGGCCUCAACAUCGCGAUCUGUGUUUACAUUCCAGGCCAAAAAAAAAAACCAAGAACACACAAAAAAUGAACUUCUGUGUCACGCUGUCAUCUGUUUCUGCCUGAAAGUGUCCACAUUUCAGCCUGCAAUACCUCCACUUUGAACUUAAGAAAUUUCAGAAGCCUAAACAAAGAAAGUUUCACCGAUGAGCACUUUCUGGUGUCGAGUUUGUUUCAUUCAUGCUAUUUUAAAAUAAUGUAUUAUUAUUUUUUAGAAUAAAAGUGAUUUUGUUGGGGGCAGCACGGGGACUCAGCUGGUAAAGCGUUGGCCUCACUGUUCUGAGGACCCGGGUUCGAUCCCGGCCCCGCCUGUGUGGAGUUUGCAUGUCCUCCCCGUGCCGGCGUGGCUUUUCUCCGGUUCAGGGUGUACCCCGCCUCCUGUUCGUUGACAGCCGGGAUAGGCUCCAGGACUCCCUGCGACCCUCGUGAGGAUAUGCGGCAAAGAAAAUGGAUGGAUGGAUGGAUGGAUAUUGUUGGGCAAUACUAUGAUGAACGAGAUGGAGAGGGCGAGGAGGAAGAUGGUGGACACGAUGACGUCGACGGAGCGCUGCGGGCCUCGCCUCUGCAGGCAAGCAACGAAGACGAGGACGCGGUCAGACGGGCGGCGACGGGGAUUAAAAAGGGG